Long non-coding RNA from Callithrix jacchus (white-tufted-ear marmoset), 1303 nucleotides. RefSeq lists it as uncharacterized. The record is from RefSeq and is a predicted model, not a curated record. Lineage: Eukaryota; Metazoa; Chordata; Mammalia; Primates; Cebidae.
GGCAGUGGUGCAGCAGUCAGUCAGGGCUGUAGGGAUCAAAGCUGCAGACAGCUGGAACACUAACCAAAGGUUCUUUUCCCAGCCAUCAUCUUUCCUGGCAGAUGGUGGAGCUGAGUGGAUGGACGAGCAGCCAUAGCACAGGGAUCCAAAGCUCUGACUGGGAGGCUGCAGGACCACAUGUCAGUUUCCUCACAGCAGCCGAGCCUGCCCAUGCCAGGGAAGCCUGGGGAGCAGACCUUCACCUGCAUCCCACAUCAGAGACUAGGUGGCCCCAUUUUGGCUCCUGUGGACAGCAGAGCUAUUGAAACAUUUGUAAAAUAGCAGAGGGUUCCAGAUGGGAGGAGCCAUUGUUCAAAGUCCAGACCACCCAGCGGGCAUGUCAGAUAACCAAGGACAGAAAUUACAUUCCUCCAUAGAACCUUGUAAUGGUUUUCAGUUACUAAAGGACCAAGAAGAUAUUUACUCUUCUGAGUCUUACUCUGCUGCCCACGCUAGAGUGUAAUGGCACAAUCUUGGCUCACUACAACCUCCGUCUCCCAGGUUCAAGUGAUUCUCCUGCCUCUGCCUCCUGGAUUCAAGUGAUUCUGCCAUCUAAGCUGAAUAACUUUUACUAUUAGGGCCUGAGCAUGUAACCCAACCCUGGUGGAGGAGUUUAAAGGUCAGUUUUCUGAGAUGUUUCUGUGCAAGUUUUUCCUUUAUGAUGUCAGAAGGCAGAUGUAGUUAUGUGUGGACAUAGUUCCUGGAGCUAUGGCAGCCUUCUUGAGACCAUGAGGGAAACUCUGAGGAUGAAAACCAACAGACUGGGGAUGACAUGAAGGAAAGUAGAAACGAAAGCACAUAGGUUGGGUGCUUGAUGAUAUUGUUGUGUCCCUUAAUUAACUAAGUCUGAAAAUUAUACCCCCAGAGAUAAUAAACCUUAUUGUUUAAGCUUUAUGUAGUUACAUAUUCCAUUACCUGUUACUUUAGUAUGCAUUCAGCAUACAGUUGAGAAGGCUAAGCUUGGAGGGUAUGAGGAGAAGGAGAAGACUUGGUGGUAACACAGAAGAAAAGGAAAAGAGAAAAGUUGCUUCUGUUGAGGGGAGCGCUAUAAAUCUCUACUCCACUCCUUUGGGGAAGCCUGAGUCAAUUCCACAUGGCUUAUGAAUACUUUUGGUGUUCAUGGAUUCAUCUGGGGGACUUGAAGAAGAAUUGAGAUCUAUAUCAAGAAUGGUGCCCAGCUGGAAAUAGCUGCACUUCUGGGAUACAUGAGAAUUUGAGACCAUAUGCAAUAAACGAUAGAUGCUGUUAUUACUAUAUUAUCAGU